GUGAACUUUGAAACACACCGCAUAUUAGCACAACAAUUGAGCAUAGAAGUCACUUGUUGGCCUCACCAAAUGGCAACCUUCAAGAUGAAUCUUGGUCCCUUCUUUUUGGUGGCUCUCAUGGUACUGGCUACUAUUGUGUCCCCAUGCCAUGCGAACAAUGAGAUACAUGCAGAUGCAAUACCACUACCUGAAAGUUGCUAUCCAAUGAAGUUUCCUAAAUGCACUAACAAGGCGUGCUACAAGUAUUGCAUAAACCCUGGAGGCUACUGCAAAGAUGUUGAUUAUUGUUGUUGCCCUAUGGAAUAAACACCACUCAACCCCCGAGAUGAAACUUUUGGGUUGUCGUUUUUAACCUAUGAAUAAAGAAAGCUUGCUAUUUUAUUUUCAUUA
This is a long non-coding RNA of Triticum dicoccoides, 390 nucleotides long. RefSeq lists it as uncharacterized. The transcript is spliced from 2 exons. The record is from RefSeq and is a predicted model, not a curated record. Lineage: Eukaryota; Viridiplantae; Streptophyta; Magnoliopsida; Poales; Poaceae.